GGCCCGCACAAGCGGUGGAGCAUGUGGUUUAAUUCGACGCAACGCGAAGAACCUUACCUGGGCUCGAAAUGUACAGGAAUACGGUAGAAAUAUCGUCGUCCCGCAAGGGAUCUGUAUAUAGGUGCUGCAUGGCUGUCGUCAGCUCGUGCCGUGAGGUGUUUGGUUAAAUCCAUUAACGGGCGCAACUCUUGUAUUAUUUUGGUAAUUAUUAAUUUCAUUUUUGUUAAUAGAAUUAAUAAUACAACUUCUAAUAUACUGCUAACUUCAAGUUAGAGGAAGGUGAGAAUUACGUCAAGUCCUUAUGGCCCUUAUGGACUGGGCUACACACGUGCUACAAUGAAUUUAACAAAGAGGUAUACAAUAAAGUCAAUUUGGAGUAAAACUCAAAAAGUUUUCGUGUUCAGAUUAUAAGCUGCAAUUCGCUUAUAUGAAGGUGGAAUCACAAGUAAUCGUAAAUCAGCAUGUUACGGUGAAAAUGUACCUAGAUUUUGCACACACCGCCCGUCACAUGCCGGAAGUGCGUUUUGUUUGAAAUUGAUUCUUUUAUUUCAUGUAACUGAAAUUAAUUCUAAAUGAUUUUUCAGUUUUACGGUUUUUUGAAGAAUUACUUAUUAUAGAGCAUAUGACUGGGAUGAAGUCGUAACAAGGUAGUCGUACGGGAACGUGUGGCUGG
Molecule: ribosomal RNA, 673 nt
Filed under: Durinskia baltica
Lineage: Eukaryota; Dinophyceae; Peridiniales; Kryptoperidiniaceae
Description: partial Bacterial small subunit ribosomal RNA
Rfam family: Bacterial small subunit ribosomal RNA
Source: RNAcentral